This 565-nucleotide ribosomal RNA is filed under the name uncultured bacterium. RNAcentral describes it as "bacterial SSU rRNA". It matches the Rfam family "Bacterial small subunit ribosomal RNA", at positions 358 to 916 of the family's 1533-position model. The record is from RNAcentral.
GGAAUUUUGGACAAUGGGCGCAAGCCUGAUCCAGCCAUUCCGCGUGCAGGACGAAGGCCUUCGGGUUGUAAACUGCUUUUGUACGGAACGAAAAAGCCUUGGCUAAUACCCAGGGUCCAUGACGGUACCGUAAGAAUAAGCACCGGCUAACUACGUGCCAGCAGCCGCGGUAAUACGUAGGGUGCGAGCGUUAAUCGGAAUUACUGGGCGUAAAGCGUGCGCAGGCGGUUAUAUAAGACAGAUGUGAAAUCCCCGGGCUCAACCUGGGAACUGCAUUUGUGACUGUAUAGCUAGAGUGCGGCAGAGGGGGAUGGAAUUCCGCGUGUAGCAGUGAAAUGCGUAGAUAUGCGGAGGAGCACCGAUGGCGAAGGCAAUCCCCUGGGCCUGCACUGACGCUCAUGCACGAAAGCGUGGGGAGCAAACAGGAUUAGAUACCCUGGUAGUCCACGCCCUAAACGAUGUCAACUGGUUGUUGGGUCUUCACUGACUCAGUAACGAAGCUAACGCGUGAAGUUGACCGCCUGGGGAGUACGGCCGCAAGGUUGAAACUCAAAUGAAUUGACGG